GACAGAGGUGCCGAGCGUUAGGCGGAAUCACUGGGCUUAAAGCGUGUGUAGGCGGCGGCGUAAGUACCUUGUGAAAUCCCACGGCUCAACCGUGGAACUGCUCGGUAUACUGCGUCGCUUGAGCCAGCUAGGGGCGACCGGAACAAACGGUGGAGCGGUGAAAUGCGUAGAUAUCGGUAGGAACACCAGUGGCGAAGGCGGUUUCCUGGAGCCCACUUGACGCUGAGACGCGAAAGCUGGGGGAGCAAACAGG
This 253-nucleotide ribosomal RNA is filed under the name uncultured bacterium. RNAcentral describes it as "partial 16S ribosomal RNA". It matches the Rfam family "Bacterial small subunit ribosomal RNA", at positions 524 to 776 of the family's 1533-position model. The record is from RNAcentral.